Molecule: ribosomal RNA, 492 nt
Filed under: uncultured bacterium
Lineage: Bacteria
Description: partial 16S ribosomal RNA
Rfam family: Bacterial small subunit ribosomal RNA
Source: RNAcentral
AGUGAACGCUGGCGGUAGGCCUAACACAUGCAAGUCGAACGGCAGCACAGUAAGAGCUUGCUCUUACGGGUGGCGAGUGGCGGACGGGUGAGGAAUACAUCGGAAUCUACUUUUUCGUGGGGGUUAACGUAGGGAAACUUACGCUAAUACCGCAUACGACCUACGGGUGAAAGCAGGGGAUCUUCUGACCUUGCGCGAUUGAAUGAGCCGAUGUCGGAUUAGCUAGUUGGCGGGGUAAAGGCCCACCAAGGCGACGAUCCGUAGCUGGUCUGAGAGGAUGAUCAGCCACACUGGAACUGAGACACGGUCAAGACUCCUACGGGAGGCAGCAGUGGGGAAUAUUGGACAAUGGGCGCAAGCCUGAUCCAGCCAUACCGCGUGGGUGAAGAAGGCCUUCGGGUUGUAAAGCCCUUUUGUUGGGAAAGAAAAGCAGCAGGUUAAUACCCCGCUGUUCUGACGGUACCCAAAGAAUAAGCACCGGCUAACUUCGUG